This is a non-coding RNA of Syphacia muris, 207 nucleotides long. The record is from Rfam. Lineage: Eukaryota; Metazoa; Nematoda; Chromadorea; Rhabditida; Oxyuridae.
GAGAUCAUACUUCACAGAAUCAUUUCUGUAGUAUGUAUUUCACUAUCUUUGCGAAAUUCGCAUCGAAGUCCUGCCGCGAUGAAGAGGUGCGGCGUCGGCUCCUGAGCGUGAAGAAGCUGAUGGGUCCUAUGUGGCACACUCAGCUUGAUGACCGCUGGAACUGCGUUUUUUACGUGGGGCCGUUGGAGUUGACGCUAGCAGAGCGGU